Molecule: ribosomal RNA, 490 nt
Filed under: uncultured bacterium
Lineage: Bacteria
Description: partial 16S ribosomal RNA
Rfam family: Bacterial small subunit ribosomal RNA
Source: RNAcentral
AGUGAACGCUGGCGGCAGGCCUAACACAUGCAAGUCGAACGGCAGCACAAGGGAGCUUGCUCUCUGGGUGGCGAGUGGCGGACGGGUGAGGAAUGCAUCGGAAUCUGCCCAUUUGUGGGGGAUAACCUCGGGAAACCGGGACUAAUACCGCAUACGACCUACGGGUGAAAGCAGGGGAUCUUCGGACCUUGCGCAGAUGGAUGAGCCGAUGCCGGAUUAGCUAGUUGGAGGGGUAAAGGCCCACCAAGGCGACGAUCCGUAGCUGGUCUGAGAGGAUGAUCAGCCACACUGGGACUGAGACACGGCCCAGACUCCUACGGGAGGCAGCAGUGGGGAAUAUUGGACAAUGGGCGCAAGCCUGAUCCAGCCAUGCCGCGUGUGUGAAGAAGGCCUUCGGGUUGUAAAGCACUUUUGUUGGGAAAGAAAAGCAGCCGGUUAAUACCCGGUUGUCAUGACGGUACCCAAAGAAUAAGCACCGGCUAACUUCGUG